Molecule: RNase P RNA, 477 nt
Filed under: Candidatus Berkelbacteria bacterium
Lineage: Bacteria; Candidatus Berkelbacteria
Description: RNase P RNA component class A
Rfam family: Bacterial RNase P class A
About the family: Ribonuclease P (RNase P) is a ubiquitous endoribonuclease, found in archaea, bacteria and eukarya as well as chloroplasts and mitochondria. Its best characterised activity is the generation of mature 5'-ends of tRNAs by cleaving the 5'-leader elements of precursor-tRNAs.
Source: RNAcentral
UUAGGUAGUCAAGGCUAUCGCUUCAUUUUGUUGAGGUUUGGCGGGGUUUACCCCAAAAGGCCUUGGCGAAGCGGGGAGGAAAGUCCAGGCACCACAAAGCAGUAUUCUUUGACGGCGUCGCAAGGCGUCACAUCAAAGCGAGCGCAAGCUUAGGGAAAGUGGCACAGAAAAUAUACUUCCCGCCUCAUCGGCGGGUAAAGAUGAAAAGGCGAGGUAAGAGCUCACCGCCUCGAUGGCGACAUCGGGGGCAGGCCAAACCCAAUACGGUGCAAGGCAAGUGGAUUCGCUCAUCAUCAAAGGUCUGCUUUGGCCGAUGACCACGAAUCUUGCCGCUUCCCGACGAUAAAUGUCGGGAUCCCGACCGCUCCGACGACAAGUCGGAGUUCCGACUCGAACGUCGGAAUAGCGUCGGGAAGAUAAAUGAUAGUCAUCCGCCGCUUGGCGGAACAGAACCUGGCUUACUGACUGCCUAAGGUU